AUGGCCGACAGAUGGGAACCGUCCAGACAGACCUCAUCACAGAGAAGCAAGAAAAUAAGACCAAAGAAGAAACCAUACAGACCUGAAGAAUGUGGAGAAAGCAAUCUGCCAGGAAUGUCAAUAAAGGAAGGACUCUAAUAUUUGUGCAGCUUUACAAUUUCUAAUUUCCUUUAGCUAGGAGAAUUAAAAGAUAAAUAUUCCCUCUCUAUGUGCUUCUUUAUGUAUGUAUAUGUAAAUAUUUUUUUUGUAAAUUACAUAAACAUGCACAUUAUUAAAGAAAAUAAAAAAUAUGGAGGCCAGAGUUUAGAUAUACCAUAAUAUCAACUCUAUACCCUAACCAAAACUUAGGUUAUUCUGACUUCCUAGAAACUCCUUUCACUACAAACUAAAGAAAAGACAUAAACUUUAUUAUAUUUUUCCCAAUCAAAUCUUCUUUUAUUUUUAUUAUUUAAAAAAAUUAUUGGUUCUUUUUAGUUGUACAUAAAACAUAAUCCAUAUUGUUAUAAUUAUAAUUAUAAAAGCAUGGAAUGUGUAUUAGUCUAGUUAGGAUUCUAUUCUUGUAGAUGUACAUGAUGGUGGAUUCACUGUGUUGUUUUCAUACAUGUACAUGGGAAAAUUAUUUCAGAUUUAUUCUACCAUCUUUCCUUAUCAAUUAUUCAGUGAAAUUGAACUAGAUAUAGAGAAAUCAUUUUAAACUGCUCUUUUACCUUAAAAAUAAUGUUAAUGUAUAAUAGCCAAUCAUGACAAUAAGUUAAAAUACUACCCUUUUUAUGCUUUGUAAACUGUGCUUAUUAUUGUUCAAAUUAUUAAAAGGAUAAAACAAUCAAUUUAAGUUCAUAUUAUAUAAUUGCUAUACAGUGAAAUUUUUACCACCUGGUUUGAGGUCUGCCAGUUUGUGAACUGUUAUUUUAUAUGAACAAUAAACUUGUACGAAUUUUAAAUUUG
This 945-nucleotide long non-coding RNA is filed under the name Ictidomys tridecemlineatus (thirteen-lined ground squirrel). RNAcentral describes it as "lncRNA (ENSSTOG00000031618.1)". Lineage: Eukaryota; Metazoa; Chordata; Mammalia; Rodentia; Sciuridae. The record is from RNAcentral.